CCGGAGAUAGCUGGUUCUCCUCGAAAUAGCUUUAGGGCUAGCCUCGUAUUAGUCUAGCGGAGGUAGAGCACUGAAUAUCCUAGGGGGCGUCAAAGCUUACCGAAGAUUAUCAAACUCCGAAUGCCGCAGAGAUGAUGUACGGGAGUCAGACUGCACGAGAUAAGUUGGGUAGUCAAAAGGGAAAGAGCCCAGACCGCCAGCUAAGGUCCCAAAGUGCGUGUUAAGUGGAAAAGGAUGUGGGAUUUCGAAGACAACUAGGAUGUUGGCUCAGAAGCAGCCAUACAUUCAAAGAGUGCGUAAUAGCUCACUAGUCGAGAGGUCCUGCGCCGAAAAUGUCCGGGGCUAAAACACACCACCGAAGCUAUGGAAUGUGAAAACAUUGGUAGAGGAGCAUUCUUAACGUGACGAAGCUGUACCGGAAGGAGCAGUGGAGUGUUAAGAAGAGAGAAUGCCGGAAUGAGUAGCGAGAUUUAAGUGAGAAUCUUAAAGGCCGAAUAUCUAAGGUUUCCAGGGUAAAGCUGAUCUUCCCUGGGUAAGUCGGGGCCUAAGGCGAGGACGAAAGUCGUAGUCGAUGGAUAACAGGUAGAAAUUCCUGUACCACAUACAAACAGAACUGUGGGGACGCAGAGAGAAAGCCAGAGCCGGAAAUGGAAAAGCCGGUGCAAGCGAGGUAUCCGUAAGGGAGGCAAAUCCCCCUUGCAAGGAGAAGACGUAAUGCGGAGUGAACUAUAAGUAACGAAGCUGGUGAGCUAGCUGCCAAGAAAAGCCGCUAUUGUUUUGUAUGUGCCCGUACCGUAAACCGACACAGGUGGAUGAGGAGAGAAUCCUAAGGCCGGCGGGAGAAGUGUUGUUAAGGAACUCGGCAAAAUGACUCCGUAACUUCGGGAGAAGGAGUGCCACAGAGAUGUGGCCGCAGAGAAAUGGCCCAAGCAACUGUUUAGCAAAAACACAGGUCUAUGCAAAACCGAAAGGUGAGGUAUAUGGGCUGACGCCUGCCCGGUGCUGGAAGGUUAAGAGGAGAGGUUAGCGCAAGCGAAGCUUUGAAUUUAAGCCCCAGUAAACGGCGGCCGUAACUAUAACGGUCCUAAGGUAGCGAAAUUCCUUGUCGGGUAAGUUCCGACCCGCACGAAAGGCG
Molecule: ribosomal RNA, 1135 nt
Filed under: human gut metagenome
Description: bacterial LSU rRNA
Rfam family: Bacterial large subunit ribosomal RNA
Source: RNAcentral